GUGCUCACUUCAGCAGCACACAUACUAAAAUUUGAACAUAACAGAGAUUAGCAUGGCCCCCGCACAAGGAUGACAUGAAAAAAAAGAGAAAAUAAUUGGGAAAAU
This is a small nuclear RNA of Molossus molossus (Pallas's mastiff bat), 105 nucleotides long. Lineage: Eukaryota; Metazoa; Chordata; Mammalia; Chiroptera; Molossidae. The record is from RefSeq and is a predicted model, not a curated record.